CCCUGGUUAGCUCAGUUGGUAGAGCGCUCCACCUGUAAUGGAGAGGUCGCGGGUUCGAUACCCGGACCAGGCG
Ixodes scapularis (black-legged tick) is the source of this 73-nucleotide non-coding RNA. NCBI's taxonomy places the organism in Eukaryota, Metazoa, Arthropoda, Arachnida, Ixodida, Ixodidae. The record is from Rfam.